RNAcentral lists this long non-coding RNA (1199 nucleotides) under Marmota monax (woodchuck). The record is from RNAcentral. Lineage: Eukaryota; Metazoa; Chordata; Mammalia; Rodentia; Sciuridae.
CAGCUUUUAAAAGCCAAGUAUAGUUAUCCAGUGAAGGAGAGGGCCUGCAGCUCACAGAGGGAGGGACAUGUUUCCUCCCUCCCUCCUGCCUUUCCUUCCUUUUAUUUCUAUCAUGAGACAUCAAUUUAGUCUGAGGUAAAAUAUUUGAUGAGGAGGGAUUCACUAAGAUAAUUAAUACCAAAAUAUCACUGAUUAAUAGCCUUAGUUUAUUACCUGCAUAGGUGAAACCCAGAUUAGCUGCACUACAUGAGAAAGGUGACUUAUGGAAAUGAAAAUUUAAGACUAAUAUUGAUGUUGUUUUGAUGACCCCCCCAUCAAUCCCCUUGUUUCUCCCUAAAAUGUGUCCAUUUCAUUUCUUAGAAAGAAAAGUCCCAUGAUGACAGUUAAAUUAUUUUGUUUAUUUGUUUGGCAGAACAUCUUGAAUCUUUAUUCCAUUUAAGACUCUAAGAGAUGGGGCUUCACUUCUCCAGCUUCCAUGAUGCACUUUGAAAACUGCCAUUCUGUUGUUCUUGCGGCUGGUCCAAACUUAUGUGCCUAUCUGGAGACAUACCACACUGCUUCCUUGUCUUCCUGGGAACACUGCCUACAUUUCCCAGCCUCCUUUGCAUUAGUUGUGAUCAUGUGAUCAAUUCUGACCAAUAGUCUGUGCCUGGAAAGGACAUGGCCCACUUUCUGGUCUGGCACAGAAAGCUCUCUCAUGGUCUCACACAUUCUUUUCAGACUACCAUCUUCUUGUGGAUUUGGAUGUGCCAUAGCUUUGGGAGUCUCUUGUGGAAGAUGACGAAGCCACAAGAAGGAGGCACCUGUUUUCUGGAACCAGGAAGAAGACCAAUUGCUGAUGAACACCCCCCCCCCCAUUUUGGAUUUUACAUUUGUGAAUAUUUCGGUUGUGUUGGGACAUCAUACAUUUUGGGGAUUUGUUUAUAAUAGCAACUAAUGAUACCCUAAUUCAUGUUUUUAUUUUUUAAAUUAAUUAAUUAAUUUUUUUGUUAUAAUUCUUUUAUACAUGACAGCAGAAUGCAUUUCAAUUCAUAGCACACACAUGGAGCACAGGUUUUCAUUUCUCUGGUUGGACAAAAUAGAGUCUCACCAUUCAUGUCUUCAUACAUGUAUUUAGGGUAAUGAUGUCCAUCUUAUUCCACCAUCUUUCAUGUUCUUAUUACUUGCUAAUAAAAGUUAGAUUAAAACCCCAAUUUCAA